AUUGAACGCUGGCGGCAUGCUUUACACAUGCAAGUCGAACGGCAGCGCGGGCUUCGGCCUGGCGGCGAGUGGCGAACGGGUGAGUAAUGCAUCGGAACGUGCCCAGCAGUGGGGGAUAGCCCGGCGAAAGCCGGAUUAAUACCGCAUACGACCUGAGGGUGAAAGCGGGGGACCGAAAGGCCUCGCGCUAUUGGAGCGGCCGAUGUCGGAUUAGCUAGUUGGUGGGGUAAAGGCUUACCAAGGCGACGAUCCGUAGCUGGUCUGAGAGGACGAGCAGCCACACUGGGACUGGGACACGGCCCAGACUCCUACGGGAGGCAGCAGUGGGGAAUUUUGGACAAUGGGGGCAAACCUGAUCCAGCCAUGCCGCGUGCGGGAAGAAGGCCUUCGGGUUGUAAACCGCUUUUGUUCGGGAAGAAAUCCUCUGGGCUAAUACCCCGGGGGGAUGACGGUACCGGAAGAAUAAGCACCGGCUAACUACGUG
This 484-nucleotide ribosomal RNA is filed under the name uncultured bacterium. RNAcentral describes it as "partial 16S ribosomal RNA". It matches the Rfam family "Bacterial small subunit ribosomal RNA", at positions 28 to 507 of the family's 1533-position model. The record is from RNAcentral.